This 572-nucleotide ribosomal RNA is filed under the name uncultured Glomeromycotina. RNAcentral describes it as "SSU rRNA". It matches the Rfam family "Eukaryotic small subunit ribosomal RNA", at positions 548 to 1114 of the family's 1831-position model. The record is from RNAcentral. Lineage: Eukaryota; Fungi; Glomeromycota.
UUGGAGGGCAAGUCUGGUGCCAGCAGCCGCGGUAAUUCCAGCUCCAAUAGCGUAUAUUAAAGUUGUUGCAGUUAAAAAGCUCGUAGUUGAAUUUCGGGAUUGACGUGAUGGUCAUGCCUUAAGGGGUAUGAACUGUUACAGUUGAUUUCUCACCUUCUGGAGAAACUUGAUGUCCUUUAUUGGGUGUCUUGCGGAUCCAGGACCUUUACCUUGAAAAAAUUAGAGUGUUUAAAGCAGGCAUUUUUGCUCGAAUACAUUAGCAUGGAAUAAUAGAAUAGGACGGCAUGGUUCUAUUUUGUUGGUUUCUAGGAUCACCGUAAUGAUUAAUAGGGAUAGUUGGGGGCAUUAGUAUUCAAUUGUCAGAGGUGAAAUUCUUGGAUUUAUUGAAGACUAACUACUGCGAAAGCAUUUGCCAAGGAUGUUUUCGUUAAUCAAGAACGAAAGUUAGGGGAUCGAAGACGAUCAGAUACCGUCGUAGUCUUAACCAUAAACUAUGCCGACUAGGAAUCAGACGAUGUUAAUUUUUUAAUGACUCGUUUGGCACCUUACGGGAAACCAAAGUGUUUGGGUUC